This is a long non-coding RNA of Antechinus flavipes (yellow-footed antechinus), 308 nucleotides long. RefSeq lists it as uncharacterized. The transcript is spliced from 3 exons. The record is from RefSeq and is a predicted model, not a curated record. NCBI's taxonomy places the organism in Eukaryota, Metazoa, Chordata, Mammalia, Dasyuromorphia, Dasyuridae.
CAACCCUCCUUAGUGUAGCAAGCAUGAUAAUGUUCAAAUUUCUUCAGUCUCAAAGGCCUCUGCAAAGUAUUCCAGUCAUCGAAAUCUAAGACAACAAACCAUCCAUUUCAAAUGGUCAGCAGUGUUCCCAAUGCCCCAGCAAAUUAAAUUAGAAAACUAUCCAGUUGUUCAUUUUUCAGAUGAGAAAAUUUAGGCAAACAGGAUUAAGUGACUUGCCCAGAGUCACAAGCUAAUCUGGCUCCUAGUAGGUAUAUCUCUAUGGAAAUGGUCCAAGAGAGAAAUAAAGAAUAAUAUCCAUAAAUUAACAG